This 538-nucleotide ribosomal RNA is filed under the name Acanthamoeba sp. RNAcentral describes it as "partial 18S ribosomal RNA". It matches the Rfam family "Eukaryotic small subunit ribosomal RNA", at positions 656 to 1091 of the family's 1831-position model. Lineage: Eukaryota; Discosea; Longamoebia; Acanthamoebidae. The record is from RNAcentral.
GGGUUCCCCCCCCUUUUUUUGUGGMGUGAUUCCCCCCCCACCCCWUUGGGUGUUUUCCAACAUUUUUUCCGGGGAACAUUCCCCCCSCAGCAKCUGGKGMKWUGGCCCAGAUCGUUUACCGUGAAAAAAWUAGAGUGUUCAAAGCAGGCAGAUCCAAUUUUCUGCCMCCGAAUACAUUAGCAUGGGAUAAUGGAAUAGGACCCUGUCCUCCUAUUUUCAGUUGGUUUUGGCAGCGCGAGGACUAGGGUAAUGAUUAAUAGGGAUAGUUGGGGGCAUUAAUAUUUAAUUGUCAGAGGUGAAAUUCUUGGAUUUAUGAAAGAUUAACUUCUGCGAAAGCAUCUGCCAAGGAUGUUUUCAUUAAUCAAGAACGAAAGUUAGGGGAUCGAAGACGAUCAGAUACCGUCGUAGUCUUAACCAUAAACGAUGCCGACCAGCGAUUAGGAGACGUUGAAUACAAAACACCACCAUCGGUSCGGUCGUCCUUGGCGGUUGGUYUUYMMMAGCCARCGGCGGGGGUGCUASACMUCYGUMYCCCCYC